GGCUAGUCUUGAGCUCCUGACCUCAGAUGAUCCACCCACCUUGGCCUCCCAAAGUGCUGGGAUACAGGCGUGAGCCACCACACCUGCCCCUGCUAUAUAUAUUCUUGAGCUUUGUUCUGGGGUACCAUUAAUUUACUUGAAAACAGCUUGAUUCCUUCAGGUUUUGCUUUUAAGCAAGAAAACUAGCUGUGUUUUCUUUAGAGUUAAUUGUGUCUCACUACUGAGGCAGGUCCCUUUGUGUACUCUACUCAGUGCCCUGUGAAUUACGAAGUUUUCCGGUCUAACCGGUAAGAAGAGGUACCGUUCCCUGCUCUGUGUGAAGUUGGAUACUGUUCCUUCUCAUCCUUUCUGGUAAUUCUUUCUCUGGCAUUGGGUAGUUUACUCACAUGCAUGUGCUGACCAGUACUCUGCUGUAUACUUGAGGGGGGCCUCUACAGAUCUCUGGAGUCCCCGCUUAUGUAGCUCUCUCACCUGCAGUAUUGUGUCCUGCAAACUGGCUUCUUUGUCUUCUUGGACUCUUAGUUCCAUCUCUUCAACUGAGAGAGUCUGCUGGGCUCUGCCUGGACUUCCCCUCCCUGCGCCACAGAGGGAACGCCCUCAAGGCAGUAAGUUGGAGUGUUGUAGGGUUCUCCUCAUUUGUCAGCUGUUGCUCCGACAUCACUAUCCUCUGGUACCUGAUAACUAAUUUCCUGAAACUGUUGUUUCAUAUAUAUUAUCUGUUUAUUUGGUUGUUUCAGUAGGGAAGGUAAAUCUGGUUCCUGUUACUCCAUCUUGGCCAGAAGCAGAAUUUCCAGAGAAUGUUUUUGAAUCUCUGAAUGAAUCCACAGAGCUCUAUGGCCCCAGUGUGAGGUAGAUCAGUAGGGUAACUGUAGUUUAUAAUAAGCUAUUGUAUAUUUCAAAAUAGCUAGACGAGAAGAAUUUGAAUGAUUCUAGCGUGAAGAAAAGACAAAUAUUUAAGGUGAUGGAUAUCCCAAUUACACCGAUCUGAUCUUUACAGAUUGCAUGAAUAUAUUGAUUAUCACAUGUGCUCUGAAUACCUGUUAUGCAUCAGCAACAACAAAAAGCUCUACAGGAAUAUUCUUUGAGAUCUUAUACAAAUGCGCAUACCUUAGGAAGCCCCUAAAUCUUCCCAACUUUGAAGUCAGUUGGCCACUGACACACCAGUGACAUGCUGCUGGCACGCAGAGCUCAUCACACAGCCAGUGGUUCCCUAACCACAUGGUGAGCUUUCCUGAGGGCUGCAGGCCUCAUUGGUUUCUGCUGGCUGGUGCCUGGCAUAAAGUCUGGCAGCUGGUGUUGAGCUGAUAAGAGUUAGAGGGCAGGAGGCAUUACUACAGAGGUGAAUGGAGAUGGCUAAACAGAUGUAUGAGAGUGCCUGGGACUCUUCCCUUAUCUGAGCAUUGUGCCCAAGUCCCACCUUCUGGCUCCAAAGUGGGAGACAGUUCUUUUCUUUUUCCUCCUGUUGCUGCCACUGCACUGUUGAGCCUGUCUCCCAGCAAUCCCAAGGGCAGCAGCCCAAAGGUGGCAGCCAGGAGAGCAGAGUCCAGCUGUCAGAGGCCACCUCAGGAAGGAGCUGCUGUGUGGCUUGAGUAGUGUUCUUUAGGCAGUGUGGCUCAGCAUCUCCGAGGUAUGAUGGCAGGGAGCCUACGGCUUGUUCUGGAGUAGCAGCCAGAAGACUUUGCUCCUAGACUGGGCUCUGCUUCUUACCAGCUGUCUGCCAUCGGACACUCUGCUGAGCCUCUCUGUGCCUUGCGUGGUUACCUGUUCAGUGGGCUUGA
Long non-coding RNA from Sapajus apella (tufted capuchin), 1778 nucleotides. RefSeq lists it as uncharacterized. NCBI's taxonomy places the organism in Eukaryota, Metazoa, Chordata, Mammalia, Primates, Cebidae. The record is from RefSeq and is a predicted model, not a curated record. The transcript has 2 exons.